This 404-nucleotide ribosomal RNA is filed under the name uncultured Acidimicrobiales bacterium. Its description in RNAcentral is "partial 16S ribosomal RNA". It matches the Rfam family "Bacterial small subunit ribosomal RNA", at positions 355 to 774 of the family's 1533-position model. The record is from RNAcentral. Lineage: Bacteria; Bacillati; Actinomycetota; Acidimicrobiia; Acidimicrobiales.
UGGGGAAUCUUGCGCAAUGGGCGAAAGCCUGACGCAGCAACGCCGCGUGCGGGAUGACAGCCUUCGUGGUUGUAAACCGCUUUCAGCAGGGACGAAAAUGACGGUACCUGCAGAAGAAGCUCCGGCUAACUACGUGCCAGCAGCCGCGGUAAUACGUAGGGAGCAAGCGUUGUCCGGAUUCAUUGGGCGUAAAGAGCUCGUAGGCGGUUCAGUAAGUCGGGUGUGAAAGCUCCGAGCUCAACUCGGAGAGGCCACCCGAUACUGCUGUGACUAGAGUCCAGUAGGGGAGCGUGGAAUUCCUGGUGUAGCGGUGAAAUGCGCAGAUAUCAGGAGGAACACCAGCGGCGAAGGCGGCGCUCUGGGCUGGAACUGACGCUGAGGAGCGAAAGCGUGGGUAGCAAACA